UACAGAGGUCUCAAGCGUUGUUCGGAUUCAUUGGGCGUAAAGGGUGUGUAGGUGGCGCCGUAAGUCGGGUGUGAAAUUUCGGAGCUUAACUCCGAAACUGCAUUCGAUACUGCCGUGCUUGAGGACUGGAGAGGAGACUGGAAUUUACGGUGUAGCGGUGAAAUGCGUAGAUAUCGUAAGGAAGACCAGUGGCGAAGGCGGCUCACUGGCCCGGUACUGACGCUGAGGUGCGAAAGCGUGGGGAGCAAACAGG
RNAcentral lists this ribosomal RNA (253 nucleotides) under uncultured bacterium. RNAcentral's name for it is "partial 16S ribosomal RNA". It matches the Rfam family "Bacterial small subunit ribosomal RNA", at positions 524 to 776 of the family's 1533-position model. The record is from RNAcentral.